Molecule: ribosomal RNA, 253 nt
Filed under: uncultured bacterium
Lineage: Bacteria
Description: partial 16S ribosomal RNA
Rfam family: Bacterial small subunit ribosomal RNA
Source: RNAcentral
UACGGAGGGUGCUAGCGUUGUUCGGAAUUACUGGGCGUAAAGCGGGUGUAGGCGGAUUGCUAAGUCGGGGGUGAAAGCCCAGGGCUCAACCCUGGAAUUGCCUUCGAUACUGGCAGUCUCGAGUACAGGAGAGGUGAGCGGAAUUCCGAGUGUAGAGGUGAAAUUCGUAGAUAUUCGGAGGAACACCAGAGGCGAAGGCGGCUCACUGGACUGUCACUGACGCUGAGACCCGAAAGCGUGGGGAGCAAACAGG